Molecule: non-coding RNA, 448 nt
Organism: Pantherophis guttatus
Lineage: Eukaryota; Metazoa; Chordata; Lepidosauria; Squamata; Colubridae
Source: RefSeq, a predicted model, not a curated record
GAGUUCAAGUCGCAAAGGGAUCCCAAGGAUCAUCUGUCAAGAAUGUCAAUAUCCAUGCUGGGAUGAUAUGCAUUCAAAUGCAAACCAUUUGAGGAAGACCAAUUUACCAAUUUUUUAUUGAAAUCAAAAUUUGGCCAACAGACCUUUCAAGUUUGAAACUUAUAUUGAAUUGGCACCAGAAACAUUUCUCCUGGGAAUACUAAAAAGGGCCUACGGGAAAAAAAAGAAGUAUCUAAUAAUACAUAUUACAACAGCUGCCAGACUGAUAUAUGCACAAUACUGGAAAGAAAAGGGAUUACCACCAGAAGAGCAUAUAAUUAGGAAAGUAUUUGAAUGAGUGGAGAUGAGUAAAUUAACUCAUGAGAUAAACGAGGAUGAAAAUUCUGACUACUAUACUGUAUGGGAAGGGUGGUAUAAAUGGAUGGAUGAUAAAAUAAAGGAAGGAGUA